AAUGGAAUCUGGUAACCCCCUUCUGUCUACCAGACUCCUCUCCCUGUAUCCCAAAAUGUUUGCACUUCCCACCCACCAUUUUGCCCAGCCCUCACUGUCCUUGGACUUCCCAGGAGAAUGUAGAACUAAUGUGCAGUGUUGGCUCCUGUUGUGCUGCACAGGCCUUCGGUAUUACAAAUGGAACUCAAGAGCAUACUCCACUCGUCUCUACUAGUGGAUUGUUUCUGAACAUUGUCUGCACUGGGCUGCAGAUGCUCAUUACUUAAGUUCAAGGUUCUUACUGAUGUCACUGGAAAAUUUGUCUCUGCUCUGAGAAAUCACAGGGAUUAGUCUUUGUGACUGGUGAGGUGACCACACUAACACCUGGUGUUGAUAAGAUGGCAUAAAAACAGCCAGCUCUGGGAAGUCGUGCUAGAGAGAUGGCUCAGAAGUGAACAGCCCAUGCUGCUCUUCCGGAAGACCUGAGCUGGGUUACCAGCACCUAUGUUCUCCAGAUCACAGUCUUCACUAACUCCAGCUCCACGGGAUCUAACCCCCUCUUCCGGCCUCCAUGGUACUUUUACUCAUGUGCAUGACAUCCUCCCACACAUACUUAAUGAAAAAUAAGAAUUAAAUCUUUAAUAAUAAUAAAAAAAAGAGUCCC
RNAcentral lists this long non-coding RNA (643 nucleotides) under Mus pahari (shrew mouse). RNAcentral's name for it is "lncRNA (MGP_PahariEiJ_G0004290.1)". Lineage: Eukaryota; Metazoa; Chordata; Mammalia; Rodentia; Muridae. The record is from RNAcentral.